This 239-nucleotide ribosomal RNA is filed under the name Bacillus subtilis. RNAcentral's name for it is "partial 16S ribosomal RNA". It matches the Rfam family "Bacterial small subunit ribosomal RNA", at positions 548 to 787 of the family's 1533-position model. The record is from RNAcentral. Lineage: Bacteria; Bacillati; Bacillota; Bacilli; Caryophanales; Bacillaceae.
GAAUUAUUGGGCGUAAGGGCUCGCAGGCGGUUUCUUAAGUCUGAUGUGAAAGCCCCCGGCUCAACCGGGGAGGGUCAUUGGAAACUGGGGAACUUGAGUGCAGAAGAGGAGAGUGGAAUUCCACGUGUAGCGGUGAAAUGCGUAGAGAUGUGGAGGAACACCAGUGGCGAAGGCGACUCUCUGGUCUGUAACUGACUCUGAGGAGCGAAAGCGUGUGGAGCGAACAGGAUUAGAUACCC